GACAGAGGGUGCAAACGUUGUUCGGAAUUACUGGGCGUAAAGCGCGUGUAGGCGGCUUUGCAAGUCGGGCGUGAAAUCCCAUGGCUCAACCAUGGAAGUGCACUCGAAACUGCAGAGCUAGAGCCUGGAGAGGAAGGUGGAAUGCUUGGUGUAGAGGUGAAAUUCGUAGAUAUCAAGCGGAACACCGGUGGCGAAGGCGG
RNAcentral lists this ribosomal RNA (200 nucleotides) under uncultured bacterium. RNAcentral describes it as "partial 16S ribosomal RNA". It matches the Rfam family "Bacterial small subunit ribosomal RNA", at positions 524 to 724 of the family's 1533-position model. The record is from RNAcentral.